Anas platyrhynchos (mallard) is the source of this 1826-nucleotide non-coding RNA. The record is from the annotation of a RefSeq genome assembly. NCBI's taxonomy places the organism in Eukaryota, Metazoa, Chordata, Aves, Anseriformes, Anatidae.
GUCCUUGCCUCCCCAAUGCCUCCCCAAUACCUCCUUAAUCACUCUCCCGGGGGAUUGGGUGGAAGGGGGGUGGGGGAAGCAAUCCCAUCUUCAUUGACAGCAGAGGUGGGUGCAGGUCUCUGUCUCUGGCCGGGUUCUGGAUGGGAGGGGGAGGCCACUGGGGACACUUGCCCCUUGCUGGGGCUGCCCACCUGCUGGAAGGGGCAAAAAGAGGGAAGCACACAGCAGCCAUGUUGGUGUCCUUUUGCCUUACUGCUGACCAAGUGAAAUGUCCUAGGCUUCACAGGCUUUCAGCUGUGAGCUAACUGCACAAGUGUGACGCUCCCUGUGCUGGAACACUUCUGGCUGGCCAUGGGGAUCCUAGGGCACGGCAAAGAUUGGCUGGAUUCCUUUCUGACUGCUUUAGCCACUAGUCCAUCCCUCUCUUGAGAGCCUUGCUGGGGCAGAGGUGAGCCCCAAGGAGCAGCAGGGGGAGAGCUUUGCUCCACCCUCUGUGCUGAGGUUUAGAGGCUGCUUUGAGCUGGCAGAGGGGGAAGUGAACUUGCAAGCUUGAGCUCCCUCUUUCCAGGCACUAUGUGGGCACCCUGUGAAGGCGAGAGCGUGACAUGGUCCUGCUUUUCCUGGCAGCCUUGUUGGCACUGUCAGACUUUGGUCAUGCACAGAAGGACACUGUGGUGCAGUUUGCCCAAGAAACUGCCAUCCAGGUGGGACACAACGCUACUCUGCACUGCAAUUUCUCCACCAGCACCUCUACUCCCUAUAUCUUCUGGUACCAGCAGCGCCUGACCCAGUCCCCUCAGUUCUUGCUGCAGGUGAGCAAGUUCAAGCCUCAUGUGCAUUCUGAGAGGAUCUCCUCCGUGCUCUCCAUGGAGAACUCCCAGGUGCUUCUCCACGUGCAAGAUGCCAAGCUCCAGGACAGCGCUGUCUACCUGUGUGCACUGAACCCACACUGGUGCCCUCAGCUUUCAGCUUUAUACAGGAAGGUGUGGGUGCUGUGAGGUGCAGUUCCGUCUCAUCACGGUUUACAUAGCGCUCUGAGCUGAGCCUGCCCAGCAAGGACACCUGGGGCUUGUGGUGAGCCAGCAGCCCCUGCUCCUGAUGCCUGGCAGUGUGGUUAGCAUAACCAACAGAAAGGCAAAUAUUCAUCAUGUGGAAGGGGCUGUUAAUGUGCACCCCUGCCUCCUUGUCUCUCCCUCUCACUGGCCCCAGCAUGCUGAGAUACCCACCAUUGUGGCGAGAAAGGGCAUUGGUGUUAUCAAGCUAGUAAUCAAACUAGCAAUUUAUUUGUAGUAAGCUUUAGGAUUUUGUAGUAAUUUUUAGUAUUUCUAGUAAUUUAUUAUGUAAUAAUACAUCCCUAAUUACAACCACAACCUGUGGCCAGUCCUCAUUCCACCAAGGAUCCGUAGAGAACCUGCCAGUGCUCUGUAGUGUUGGGAGACAGAGCUGGGUAUAGUCAGCAGGAGCCUUGUGUUAGAAUAAUGAAUGGUUCCCUUGAGAAAUGGGCCCCACUGUGAAAGGGUUUUCUUGGAAAUGGAAGGCAAGAUGCAAAGCAGCAAUGGCUAAGCUCAACACACCACAAUCCAAAUCCCUCAAGGAAUGAAUUUAAUAAAUGGAAAGAUGCAUGUACAGUAAGGAAAGAGAAAAGGAAAGAAGGAGAGUUAGCUGGCUGUUAGCUGCAAUGUGGAAAAUUGAGAAGGAGUGGGCUGGAAGGCGAUCAGGCCCAGUCAGCAUGAGUUUAUGAAAGGCAGGUCCUGCUUGACGAACCUGAUCUCCUUCUAUGACACAGUGACGCUCUGGGUGGAUGAGGGAAAGGCUGUGGAUGUGGU